Molecule: unclassified non-coding RNA, 1101 nt
Filed under: Helichrysum truncatum
Lineage: Eukaryota; Viridiplantae; Streptophyta; Magnoliopsida; Asterales; Asteraceae
Description: contains 5' external transcribed spacer, ETS
Source: RNAcentral
GUUGCGUCACGGGUCGAUUUAUUCACGACUUAUGAGUGACAAUAUGCUCGAUGUCGAAGGCAUUGUAACCCAACAAGUGGGGAGUUCGAUUUGGUUGGGACAAAUCGAACGAUCUGCGGUAGCAGCGACAAGGGCAUGGUGUGGAUACAAGUUGAGCCAUGCCAGGAUGUUGUUGUUACUUCGUGAUGCUGAUGAGAUUUGUCAGUUGUUGUGGUGAUGUCUAGUUGUAUGUAGAUCUUAGUUUAACUUUGAUCUUAGUUUUACGCUUAACUGGUAUCUUCAUGAGGCGUGCACUCUUGGUCCGAUUGUAUGGCAUGCUGUUGUUUGUAUAUGUUUGCCUUACGAUCGGAUUGUUGUGUUACCGAUGACAUGAUUUGGCUUGUUAAUCGUGGAUGACAAUUUGACGUUGUUUCAACUGUUGAUGAAUGUUGUUGCAAGGGUUCCUUGAACUGCUGCGUUGUUGGUGAUGACAUUCGUCUUGAGGUGAUGCGGUGUCAUGUUGCCUGUGUAUCCUGGUUUGGAGCAACUGAGCUUGUAACAUGUGGAUUAUCGGUUAGUGACACGGCAUCGCUCCCUUGGUUGAUGAAAGUCGUCCAAUGAUGCGGUGGUUUGUUUGUUUUCUUCUCGCAUCGCUCGGUGCAUUCUGAGGUCAUUUUGGCUGUUGGUAGCUUGCUUGGCAAUUGAGCUUGGUGGGUUGCUGCUGGUUGGGUGUCUUCGGGGAUGUCUACCGUAAAGGUGCAUGAGUGGUGUUUGGUUUGUUACGGGUGGUUGGCUCUUUGCUUGCGCAACAACUUCUACCCGGCAUACCUCUUCAGUCUUGUGUCAAUGCUUGUCUUGCAUUGAGUGCACGGUGGGUUUCUUGUGUUGCAUUCCUAAUUAAUGGUAUCGUUUGAUGAAAUGGUUUUCCUUUCGUCUUGCUUCACCUAUGUGAUGUGAGGUGAACCUUGAAGCAGCCUUUGUGAUCCACUCUUUUGAUGCAUACGCAUUGAUUUUGUGGCCCAUUGAGUGUUGCUUGGUCUCAUGGAUAUGGAACCUGGUGUGGGCAUGGAAUCUUAAUGGUUCCUUGUUUGCCCAAGUUUAGCUUCUCUAAAACGAUUGUCU